Molecule: ribosomal RNA, 529 nt
Filed under: Escherichia coli
Lineage: Bacteria; Pseudomonadati; Pseudomonadota; Gammaproteobacteria; Enterobacterales; Enterobacteriaceae
Description: partial 23S ribosomal RNA
Rfam family: Bacterial large subunit ribosomal RNA
Source: RNAcentral
GGGUUGUGAGGUUAAGCGACUAAGCGUACACGGUGGAUGCCCUGGCAGUCAGAGGCGAUGAAGGACGUGCUAAUCUGCGAUAAGCGUCGGUAAGGUGAUAUGAACCGUUAUAACCGGCGAUUUCCGAAUGGGGAAACCCAGUGUGUUUCGACACACUAUCAUUAACUGAAUCCAUAGGUUAAUGAGGCGAACCGGGGGAACUGAAACAUCUAAGUACCCCGAGGAAAAGAAAUCAACCGAGAUUCCCCCAGUAGCGGCGAGCGAACGGGGAGCAGCCCAGAGCCUGAAUCAGUGUGUGUGUUAGUGGAAGCGUCUGGAAAGGCGCGCGAUACAGGGUGACAGCCCCGUACACAAAAAUGCACAUGCUGUGAGCUCGAUGAGUAGGGCGGGACACGUGGUAUCCUGUCUGAAUAUGGGGGGACCAUCCUCCAAGGCUAAAUACUCCUGACUGACCGAUAGUGAACCAGUACCGUGAGGGAAAGGCGAAAAGAACCCCGGCGAGGGGAGUGAAAAAGAACCUGAAACCGUG